GGGCUGCUACAUUUAUAUGUGAUGAUAUUGUGGCACUGGGCUGUCCACUUGCAGACAGAUAUUUUGAGGAAUCCAAUUCUGCAGGACUUAGUACAAGGCUCUAACAGACAGACUUUUUUUCCAGCAGAUAGACUAACUUUACUCUGUGUUGCACUCCAGAUAUACUGUUUAAAGUUUAACAAUUCUGAUUUAGUUUUUGUUGUUUAUUAUUUUUAACUUUCAAACACUCUAAAUUUACAAGAGACUGCAGUUUUAAAAUAGCGUUGUCAG
Pelobates cultripes (western spadefoot toad) is the source of this 270-nucleotide non-coding RNA. The record is from the annotation of a GenBank genome assembly. NCBI's taxonomy places the organism in Eukaryota, Metazoa, Chordata, Amphibia, Anura, Pelobatidae.